RNAcentral lists this ribosomal RNA (560 nucleotides) under uncultured marine eukaryote. RNAcentral's name for it is "bacterial SSU rRNA". It matches the Rfam family "Eukaryotic small subunit ribosomal RNA", at positions 657 to 1220 of the family's 1831-position model. The record is from RNAcentral.
CCGGUCCUUCCAAGUGGAGAAUACGCGGAACUCUUCUUGGCAUGUUGUUCAGGGAAGAUGUUUGCACUUCAUUGUGUGUCAUUUGAUCUGAAUUUUUACUUUGAGGAAAUGAGAGUGUUUCAAGCAGGCUUUCGCCGUGAAUAUGAUAGCAUGGAAUAAUAGCAAGGACCGUGUGUCAGAGCUGUUGGUUUUUGGCACGUGGUAAGUUUUAAUAAGGAUAGUUGGGGGUAUUCGUAUUUAACUGUCAGAGGUGAAAUUCUUGGAUUUUUUAAAGACGAACUAUUGCGAAGGCAUUUACCCAGGAUGUUUUUAUUGAUCAAGAACGAAAGUUAGGGGAUCGAAGACGAUCAGAUACCGUCCUAGUCUUAACCUUAAACUAUGCCGACUGGGGAUUGGACGUUGUCAACUUCUGACACGUUCAGCACCCUGAGAGAAAUCUAAGUCUUUGGGUUCCGGGGGGAGUAUGGUCGCAAGGCUGAAACUUAAAGGAAUUGACGGAAGGGCACCACCAGGAGUGGAGCCUGCGGCUUAAUUUGACUCAACACGGGGAAAACUCACCA